ACACAUGCAAGUCGAGGGGCAGCAUGAACUUAGCUUGCUAAGUUUGAUGGCGACCGGCGCACGGGUGAGUAACACGUAUCCAACCUGCCGAUGACUCGGGGAUAGCCUUUCGAAAGAAAGAUUAAUACCCGAUGGCAUAGUUCUUCCGCAUGGUAGAACUAUUAAAGAAUUUCGGUCAUCGAUGGGGAUGCGUUCCAUUAGGUUGUUGGCGGGGUAACGGCCCACCAAGCCUUCGAUGGAUAGGGGUUCUGAGAGGAAGGUCCCCCACAUUGGAACUGAGACACGGUCCAAACUCCUACGGGAGGCAGCAGUGAGGAAUAUUGGUCAAUGGACGAGAGUCUGAACCAGCCAAGUAGCGUGAAGGAUGACUGCCCCAUGGGUUGUAAACUUCUUUUAUACGGGAAUAAAGUGAGGCACGUGUGCCUUUUUGUAUGUACCGUAUGAAUAAGGAUCGGCUAACUCCGUGCCAGCAGCCGCGGUAAUACGGAGGAUCCGAGCGUUAUCCGGAUUUAUUGGGUUUAAAGGGAGCGUAGGCGGACGCUUAAGUCAGUUGUGAAAGUUUGCGGCUCAACCGUAAAAUUGCAGUUGAUACUGGGUGUCUUGAGUACAGUAGAGGCAGGCGGAAUUCGUGGUGUAGCGGUGAAAUGCUUAGAUAUCACGAAGAACUCCGAUUGCGAAGGCAGCUUGCUGGACUGUAACUGACGCUGAUGCUCGAAAGUGUGGGUAUCAAACAGGAUUAGAUACCCUGGUAGUCCACACAGUAAACGAUGAAUACUCGCUGUUUGCGAUAUACAGUAAGUGGCCAAGCGAAAGCGUUAAGUAUUCCACCUGGGGAGUAC
This 839-nucleotide ribosomal RNA is filed under the name uncultured bacterium. RNAcentral describes it as "bacterial SSU rRNA". It matches the Rfam family "Bacterial small subunit ribosomal RNA", at positions 51 to 883 of the family's 1533-position model. The record is from RNAcentral.